UACGGAGGAUCCGAGCGUUAUCCGGAUUUAUUGGGUUUAAAGGGUGCGUAGGCGGGACUGUAAGUCAGGGGUGAAAUACUGCAGCUUAACUGUAGCAUUGCCUUUGAAACUGCCGUUCUUGAGUACAGUUGAGGUAGGCGGAAUGUGGUGUGUAGCAGUGAAAUGCAUAGAUAUACCACAGAACGCCGAUUGCGAAGGCAGCUUACUAAGCUGUUACUGACGCUGAGGCACGAAAGCGUGGGGAUCAAACAGGAUUA
This 257-nucleotide ribosomal RNA is filed under the name uncultured prokaryote. Its description in RNAcentral is "partial 16S ribosomal RNA". It matches the Rfam family "Bacterial small subunit ribosomal RNA", at positions 524 to 780 of the family's 1533-position model. The record is from RNAcentral.